Molecule: long non-coding RNA, 3361 nt
Organism: Lates calcarifer (barramundi perch)
Lineage: Eukaryota; Metazoa; Chordata; Actinopteri; Centropomidae
Exons: 3
Source: RefSeq, a predicted model, not a curated record
AGAGAGGAGAGCAACAGCUGUGACAACAACAACAACAACAACAACAACAACAACAACGACAGCAACAACAGCAGCAGCAGCUCAGGAUGACUCAGAAACAAAAAGAGCAGCUGAUGGAUGUGGGCGACUGUUGGCUGAGCUGAAACUCUCAGCCCUUCAUCACUGAACAGUUUAUCAAUCUGCUGAUGAUUAGAGCUGCCAUCAUUUCACAGGAAAGAAACUUAAUCAGCAACUAUUCUGAUGAUUGAUUUGAUCGUUUUAGUUAAUUUUCUUCUCAGGUUCCCGCAAAAUUAUAGAACCCAUCUGAUUCAUUUUUACGUUCAGCAAAUUAAAAACGAAUUAGUGAAAUAUCAGUUAUCAAUACUACAGUUAUAGGCAGGUUUAGCACUUUUUAACAACAAGGUGAUUCAAAGUGUUUUACAUCAGAUAUAAAAGGCAUCAAGACAAAGCGUUAAAGCAACAAAGGAAAACUGAAAAUGUUUCUGUAGCGUCACAGUAAUGGAGUGUGAUCAUGAGAUUUGGUGUCACAGUGAAAAUCAAAAGUACCAGUUUGAUUAUAUUUAAGAUUUAAAUCCAACAGCACGAGGAAAAUAUGAUAAAAUGAUGACAUCUGCAGCAUCUGAGGGUCACACCUCUGAUCUACACUGACCAUGUUGAGCCAACACGUCUUUUUAUGGCAAGUUUUCACUCAGUUUCAGGAUGUUCUUGUGCAGAGGCUCGUCUGUCAGUCUGUGUCUGUCGGUAAACAGAGGAUCACUCAGAGUUGGAGAAGGAUCCUCAGAGCUGCUGUUAAAUCAUCCCCAAACAAAGCAGCGAGAGGAUUAAUCUGUUUAAUCCACAUUCUCUGUACGGAUCUACACCGACGCCAGGACCCACGGUGGUAAUCUGGACACGCAACAGGACACGCAAACCAUCUGGAUUAGAGAUAUCUGCAAAGCAAGAUUAUACAACGAAAGUCUGUUAUUACAAAAGAGGAACAAAGAGGCUGCACUGGAGACAAUCAUCUGCAUAGUUCUGUUAUCCAGAAGCAUUAAAGUCCAGCAGUCUGGUCUCAGCUGAAUUCCUCUGGUGGUUUGAAGUUUAAUGCACGAUAACUUUGAUCAGUUCACUCAAUUAACUUUAUUAAUCAAAGCUGAGAGGUUCUGACAGAUCAGGAACCACAACCCUAACCUCAUUAAACCACAUCAUCUACAGACAGAUGGACGACAACGAUCAGAACCAGAAGCUGGAUCCAGAGAAAAAUGUUCAAUCAAAAUGGAUGUUGGUUGGUUGGCUGGAGAUAUUUUUUAGCUGCGGGAAUCAUUUUCAGUCUUUCUAAGUUCUCCUGGUUUUCAGAGACUUUAACUUUUAGUCUCUUGGCGUUAUGACUUUAGCAGAUUCUUUCACAUCCAAAAUCACUUUCGGGACUCUCAGUCUUUGACCUGUCAGAGAUCCACUCAGACCCUCAGUAUCUGUGACUUUGUAAUGUCUCAGAUGUGUCGGCUCAGAUUUAACGCUUCAUAAAUUUGUGGGAACCACUUUAAAAAGAACAGAGCAGAUUCUCUCAGUGUUGGAGAUCAGCUCCACAGAGGCUCAUGUAGAGAGGCUGAUCGCUUACAGAAGCUUUAAAUAUGAGCUGUCAUCUGAAGCAUAUGGCAGCGGCUGCAUGUGGUCAGAGCACUAAAUCACAGAGGAGCUCUGGCUGCCGUCCCAGUACGAAGGGUGGAGGCCCAGACUGGGAGAGAGCGGGGAGACUGGGCGGCAGCUCUGUACGCUACCUGACAGGGACGACUGACAGACUCAGAGUCUGAUGGUUUCCUGGUUAAUUACAAACACUGAGCUCUCUGGGUGAUUUAUCUCCAGACUGUCUGAAGUUGUUGACUUCAUUCAGCAGAGUCUGAUGAUGUGGGACCUGGACCUGAGUCAGCCUGCUGCUGGCUCAUUUAUGGUCAGAGGUGGACCAACAUCUGUGAUGAAGAGUUUGGUUCCUCAGAAGAUACAGAUUCAUUUUACUUUUACAAGUUUGACUCAUUAAAAACCACCGAGCUGAACCAGAGGUUUAUAAAGAGAAUUAACUGCUCAGUGUGAGCAGAUAUGUUCAUUUAACAUCAGGAGCCUGGGACUCACAACCUCCUGAACUCAGAAUUCAAAAGAUGAUUCUGAUAAGUUCUGAGUCAGACACGAGGUUCGGGUCCUUCUGGACUUGGACUCAUCUGAGUCACUGACACAUUCACGUGACCGAAUCUUAAAAGACUUGAGACUUGCUAAUUGAACUUGGACCUGAAUGCAUCACCUCAGACUGAUGUGUCACUUUCUGACCAAACAAUCAAGAAAACUAUCUGCAGAUGAAUCAAUAAUGAAAAUAAUUAUUAUUUAAAACUGCUGUUUGACUUAAAACCAGUAAAGUUUGUACAGUAAUCAGCUCUUCUUCUUCUUCUUCUACUUCUUCUUCCAAUAAUUCACUGAUUAAUAGAUAAUUUGUUAGGAACUGUCUCCAUCGAAGCAGGUCCAGUAUCGACUACAACAGGUUCUCCAUCCUCCUGGUUUUCUAAAAGGACUCUGAGUCAGAAUCUAAACCUUUAACACAGAAAUAAACAAGGUAAAGUCUUAUUAUCCCAUCGCAGGUGAACUGUCCGUCUGCAACCAAUGACCUCCUCCUUCACCAUCAAUCAUUUUCUAUAAUAACUGAGUUAUGGUUCAAUGUGUAAAUAUCAGUGAAAUGUCUCUUCUAAUGUCUCGUUUUACCUGAGCAGCUGAUAAACAAAGAUACUGAACUGAUUAUUACAGAAAACAAAGAAAGAUAAGGUUAAAACAGGAAAUUCCUUUGGCUUUGAACUUGUUGUAAAUUAAUUUUCUAUCAUCUAAUCGAUUGAUCCUCCUCGGUGCUUCUGGGUUUGCAGGAGUCAGAGGAAAUGAUGAACCUGCCAUGAGGAGGUCAGGAGGUUAAAUCAGUCAUGGUGGAACUCCUUUAAAAACUGAGGCCGUAGACCCUGAGUCCCGCAGACAGCAGCAGCAGCUGUGUGUCCUCUCUGUCAUUUAAAUCUCAGUUGUUGUGUUAAACUUUGUGUUGCAGCAGCAGCAGCAGCUCGGGCCUCUGCAGGAGCCCAGACCUGCUGCUGCCUUCACUGUCUUCAUCACAGUGGACGUGUACCGGGCUGCAGGAUGCUGAUCCGGUCUUCUGCCGGUCCACAGUCCUCAGACUGAGACCCGGGAGCUGGUUAACGGCUCUGAGCGUGUUUUCCUGACAGUAAACAAACCGUCGGUCUCCGGCGGAGGAGCCGUGAUGCUGCGAUUUGAGACGAUGCUACAACCUCACGCGAGAUCAUUUUAUUCUAAUGAGAAUAACAAACAAAAGCAGCAGAGAGGAGGAGAUAAAAGCAGA